Molecule: ribosomal RNA, 600 nt
Filed under: uncultured bacterium
Lineage: Bacteria
Description: bacterial SSU rRNA
Rfam family: Bacterial small subunit ribosomal RNA
Source: RNAcentral
UGCGAUUGACGCUGAGGCUCGAAAGUGCGGGUAUCAAACAGGAUUAGAUACCCUGGUAGUCCGCACUGUAAACGAUGGAUGCUCGUUCUGGGCGACAGACAGUCCGGGACCAAGGGAAACCAUUAAGCAUCCCACCUGGGGAGUACGCCGGCAACGGUGAAACUCAGAGGAAUUGACGGGGGCCCGCACAAGCGGAGGAACAUGUGGUUUAAUUCGAUGAUACGCGAGGAACCUUACCCGGGCUUGAACUGCACUAGACGAAUGUAGAGAUACAUUUUCCCUUCGGGGCUGGUGUGGAGGUGCUGCAUGGUUGUCGUCAGCUCGUGCCGUGAGGUGUCGGCUUAAGUGCCAUAACGAGCGCAACCCUUGCUGCCAGUUGCCAUCAUGUAGUGGUGGGCACUCUGGCGGGACUGCCAUCGCAAGAUGUGAGGAAGGUGGGGAUGACGUCAAAUCAGCACGGCCCUUACGUCCGGGGCUACACACGUGUUACAAUGGGGGGCACAGCGCGCCGCUACCCGGUGACGGGAUGCGAAUCGUGAAAUCCCCUCUCAGUUCGGACUGGAGUCUGCAACCCGACUCCACGAAGCUGGAUUCGCUAGU